Molecule: transfer RNA, 70 nt
Filed under: Dipodomys ordii (Ord's kangaroo rat)
Lineage: Eukaryota; Metazoa; Chordata; Mammalia; Rodentia; Heteromyidae
Rfam family: tRNA
About the family: Transfer RNA (tRNA) molecules are approximately 80 nucleotides in length. Their secondary structure includes four short double-helical elements and three loops (D, anti-codon, and T loops). Further hydrogen bonds mediate the characteristic L-shaped molecular structure. tRNAs have two regions of fundamental functional importance: the anti-codon, which is responsible for specific mRNA codon recognition, and the 3' end, to which the tRNAs corresponding amino acid is attached (by aminoacyl-tRNA synthetases). tRNAs cope with the degeneracy of the genetic code in two manners: having more than one tRNA (with a specific anti-codon) for a particular amino acid; and 'wobble' base-pairing, i.e. permitting non-standard base-pairing at the 3rd anti-codon position.
Source: Rfam by way of RNAcentral
GGUUGUAAAGCUCAGUGGUAGAGUGCUUGCUUUGCAUGCAUGAGGCCGUGGGUUCGAUUCCUCAGCACCA